RNAcentral lists this ribosomal RNA (497 nucleotides) under uncultured bacterium. RNAcentral describes it as "partial 16S ribosomal RNA". It matches the Rfam family "Bacterial small subunit ribosomal RNA", at positions 28 to 507 of the family's 1533-position model. The record is from RNAcentral.
GACGAACGCUGGCGGCGUGCCUAAUACAUGCAAGUUGAGCGCUGAAGGUUGGUACUUGUACCAACUGGAUGAGCAGCGCACGGGUGAGUAACGCGUGGGGAAUCUGCCUUUGAGCGGGGGACAACAUUUGGAAACGAAUGCUAAUACCGCAUAAAAACUUUAAACACAAGUUUUAAGUUUGAAAGAUGCAAUUGCAUCACUCAAAGAUGAUCCCGCGUUGUAUUAGCUAGUUGGUGAGGUAAAGGCUCACCAAGGCGAUGAUACAUAGCCGACCUGAGAGGGUGAUCGGCCACAUUGGGACUGAGACACGGCCCAAACUCCUACGGGAGGCAGCAGUAGGGAAUCUUCGGCAAUGGACGAAAGUCUGACCGAGCGACGCCGCGUGAGGGAAGAAGGUUGUCGGAUCGUAAAACUCGGUUGGUAGAGAAGAACGUUGGUGAGAGUGGAAAGCUCAUCAAGUGACGGUAACUACCCAGAAAGGGACGGCUAACUACGUG